RNAcentral lists this ribosomal RNA (1202 nucleotides) under Orobitis apicalis. RNAcentral describes it as "partial 16S ribosomal RNA". The stretch from base 1048 to 1202 matches the Rfam family "Archaeal large subunit ribosomal RNA", at positions 2544 to 2698 of the family's 2987-position model. Lineage: Eukaryota; Metazoa; Arthropoda; Insecta; Coleoptera; Curculionidae. The record is from RNAcentral.
AAAAAAAUAAUUAUUAAUUGUAUAUAUACAUAUAUAAGUUAUUUAAUAAAAGUAAUUGUUAUUUUUAUUAGUUUGUAUGAAAAAAUUAGUGUUUAUUAUAGUUAAAUAGUAUUGAGAAAGAAGAUUUAUUAUUAUUUAAUAGAAAAAUUUAAUUUUUGUACCUUGUGUAUCAGGGUUUAUUAAAUAAAUUUUAUAUAGAGUAAUUUUCUCGAAUUUAAAAGAGCUAUAAUUUUAUAUUUUUUAUUGUGGAAUAAAUAUUGUAAAUAUAAUUAUAGAAGUGAAAUGCUAUUCGAUUUUAAAUAUAUCUAGUUUUUUAAGAAAAAAAUUUAAUUUUAUUUUAAUUAAUUAUUUUAUUAAAUUUAUAAUAGUAUAGUUGUUAAUGUAAAUAUAUAAAGGGAUGAGCUUUUAUAUAAAUUUAUAUAAUUUUAUAAGUUUUUAAUUUUAUAAAUAGGAUUAUAAGUUUCCAGUUUUUAUAGUGUUUUAUAACAAUAAAAAUUUAUUAUAAGAUUUUUAUUUAAUUUAUAUUUUUUAUUAAAAUAUAAAUUUUAAUCAUAUAAAUUUAGAAAUAAUGAUAAAAUUAGUAUUAAAUAUUGUUUGUAUAUUAUUUAUAUAAAGAUUAAAUAAAGGAAUUCGGCAAAUAAAUUUUCCACCUGUUUAUUAAAAACAUGGCCUUUUGAUUAUAAUUUAAGGUCUAACCUGCCCAAUGAAUUUUUAAAUGGCCGCGGUAUUUUGACCGUGCAAAGGUAGCAUAAUAAUUUGUUUCUUAAUUAGAAGCUUGUAUGAAAGGUUGAAUGAGAAAAUAGCUGUCUCUAUUUAAAUAAAAGAAUUUUAUUUUUAAGUAAAAAAGCUUAAAUAAUUAUUGAAGACGAGAAGACCCUAUAGAGUUUUAUAUUUUUUAUUUUUUUAAUUUUUAGAAUUUUAAAAGAAAAGGAUACAAAGUAUUUAGUUGGGGUGAUUGAAAAAUUAAGUUAACUUUUUUUAUAUUUUUACAUUUAUUUAUGGAUAUAUGAUCCUAUGUUUUAGAUUAUAAGAUAAAAUUACCUUAGGGAUAACAGCGUAAUUUUUUUUAAGAGUUCUAAUCGGAAAAAAAGUUUGCGACCUCGAUGUUGGAUUAAAAUAAAUUUUAGGUGUAGAAGCUUAAAUAAUUAGGUCUGUUCGACCUUUAAAAUUUUACAUGAUCUGAGUUUAAACCGGCGUGAGCC